RNAcentral lists this ribosomal RNA (253 nucleotides) under uncultured bacterium. RNAcentral describes it as "partial 16S ribosomal RNA". It matches the Rfam family "Bacterial small subunit ribosomal RNA", at positions 524 to 776 of the family's 1533-position model. The record is from RNAcentral.
UACGUAGGGUGCUAGCGUUGUCCGGAAUCAUUGGGCGUAAAGCGCGCGUAGGCGGCCCGGUAAGUCCGCUGUGAAAGUCAAAGGCUCAACCUUUGAAUGUCAGCGGAUACUGCCGGGCUAGAGUCCGGAAGAGGCGAGUGGAACUCCUGGUGUAGCGGUGGAAUGCGCAGAUAUCAGGAAGAACACCAACGGCGAAGGCAGCUCGCUGGGACGGAACUGACGCUGAGGCGCGAAAGCGUGGGGAGCGAACAGG